RNAcentral lists this long non-coding RNA (522 nucleotides) under Nicotiana benthamiana. RNAcentral describes it as "long non-coding RNA (NBEN_LNC013837)". The record is from RNAcentral. Lineage: Eukaryota; Viridiplantae; Streptophyta; Magnoliopsida; Solanales; Solanaceae.
AAAUCUAGAAGUUCAUAAAUUCUAACCAGUUACAAAUAAUCAGAGUCCAAUAACCAAUAACAUACGGCCAACUCAUCUAAGACCAACGUGGCAUAUGACUGUCGUAGCAGAUCAUGGAGAUAACCUGUAUCCCAUCGUAUCCAAUCCCUUAUCAUGAGAAAUAUUGUCAGAAAUGACCACGUGGCAAGAAAGGAAGAAAGUCGAGACAUUAAACCAACGUUUGCGCGCGAAGCAUCUCGAAAACCGUAGAACUUCUCGAAUUUCCCAAGUCAUUUCAUAGAGUAUAAAUAGGAAAAUGGCGAAGCAACUGAUCAGAGAAAAAACAUUUGAUUUUCGGAGCAGUUACAAAGAGAGAAGCAAAGUUCGAGCACUAAAGGAUUUGGGUUUGUUGGGUUGGUGGAUCGAUUUGUACCGGAAACCGAGUCAUCUGGAUUUGUGGAACCGAUUGGACGGAGCCUUUCUGUAAGAUAUAUGGAUUUAUAUCUAGAUAUAUGGACUUAUAUCUACACACAUAUGAACANN